GGCGCGAGAGCCCUUUUCAAACGCGGCGGUCAUUCGAGCCGCGCGCCCAUUCCUUUAAGCAGAUCCCCCGCGCACUCCGUUAAAAAUACACACCGGGGAGGGGGGCGACGAGAAGGAGCUGCUCCCCGUUUAAAGAAGCGCUAUCGACCCAAGAACCCCCCACUCGUCCAAAACAAAAAAAAAAUCACCUCUCAUCAACACCGCCUCCCCCCUCCCCACAAAAAAAACACCUCCCGCAUUAGGCCUCGCCCUUCGGCGUCACCGGGCUCCAGGCUGUGACGCACCCCGCCGCUGCGGGAGUAGUAGGGGGUCCACCCCGCUGUCGCGCCUAGUCCCCAGGGGAAGAAAGAAACUGUGUAAGGCCUCCCGCUUCGCCCAGGAAGCGGCCUGCCAGUCGGUACAUCUUUCUCUCCUCUCCCCCCCCCCCGGGCAACACACGGCGCGGGCUCCGCCGCCAUGUUGAUGCCAUGAGGCUUUCUUUUUCAGGCUUCCCUAGCUGGAAGCGGAAGUGGUUUCGCAAGACAGAAGGGGAAAAGAAACAUGGAAUAAAAUCGCCCUACCACCUCAACAGGAUGAGGAUGCUGCUGGCUAGGCAGCAUUUAUUGUCCAUCCUUAAUUGCCCUGAGGGUAGUUCAGAGUCAACGACAUUGCUGUGGACCUGGAGUCACAUGUAGGCCAGACCAGAACAAGAAGGUCAGAAUCCAGGAUUUUUGAUGGCAUGACAAGGGAAAGAUGGAGCAUAGUACUGUGGUUACAAGAGACUACUGCCUCUGUUUUAAUGCCUUGGGCACAAAAAAGCCACUUCUUUUGGCACAACGAUUCUCAAUGGGUACACAGUGUAAUCAGUAGCAUAGAAAUUUCCAUACUGCUUUAAUUGCAGCUUCUCCUCAGCCAUCACCUGAAGUUAUUGACUCAUACAGGUAAUACUGAUCAGAAUCUAGAACCUCAUUCACUUGACUCUUUUUCAGGUAUGAACUGAGAUAGCCUGUGCCAACAUACUGUUUGCCCACAGGCAGAAGCAUAAUUCUCCAAUGUGAUUCUCUCAACUGAUGUCUGCUUGCAUGCACUUCUAUAUAGGGGGUCUUGGAAGAUGAGGAAAUCCUGCAAGCUACAUCUCUUUUCUCUAGCCCAGAGCGCACAAGUAUGAAUUGCCAAUCCCAACCAUUUUCCCAUUAAAAUCAGCCAUGCUGGGGAUUGAGGCAGUUGCAUUUGUGCUCUGCAUGAGUAAGUCUAAAACUUUCUAAUAGAAGUCUCAAAAAUGUAUUUUAAAUGUCUUUAAUUUGAAAAUACCCUCUAUACUCAAGAGUCGAUUUUUGUCUACAAAUCUUUUGUCCAAAAACUCAAAAUCUUUUACUUAUCUCUCAUGUUUCGCAUUGAUUCCAAUGCAUCAACUUGGUGAGGAGUUGAUGGCAUAGUAGUUACAUCCCUGGACCAGAAAUCCAAAGAGCCAGGCUAAUGAGGCUGCACAGUGGCUCAGUGGUUAGCAUGACUGUAUCACAGUGACCCGGGUUCAAUUCCAGCCUCGGGCGACUGCGUGUGUGAAGUUUGCACAUUCUCCCCGUGUCUGCAUAAGUUUCCUCCCACAGUUCAAAGAUGUGCAGGCUAGGUGGAUUGGCUAUGGGAAAUACAGGGAUAGGGUAAGGGGGAUGCAUCUGGAUGGGAUGCUCUUUGGAGAAUCAGUGUGGACUUGUUGGGCCGAAUGGCCUGUUUCCACACUAGGGAUUCUAUGAUUCUAAUGUUCCGGUGCGAUAGGUAUAAUCCUGCUGUGGCAGGUAAUGAAAUUUGAAUUUGGUAAAAUCUGAAAAUUAAAAAAUGCUAGCAAGAGACAACUAUGUCAAUUGUUGCAAAAACGUAUCUGGUUCAUUAACGUCCAUAGGGAAGGAAUUUUUUUUUCCUCUAUUCAUUUGUGGCAUGUGGGAUGUGGGCGUCACUCGCUGGCCAGCAUUCUUGCCCAUCCCUAAUCUACCAAAUUUACCAACCUGGGUCUGGCUUACAUGUGACUCUGAUACGCAGCAGGUUGAGUCUUAACUGCCCUCUGUACAGCCAGGGAUGGACAGUAAAUGUUGGCCUAGGCAGCACCUGUACCCCAUGAAUGAAUUUAAAAAAUAUUCAUUUGAAGGCAACUGUUCAGCUCCUCAUGCUGUUAAGGUUACCAUCUCACUGCUGCGUGCUAUGUUCCCAGCAAUUCUGUCCUCCGACAUGACAAUAUAAGAUCAAGAAGGAACAUCAAAUAUACAACCCAGUUCAAACUUAUAGUCAUUGAAUUUACAGAGCUGACAAAUAAUUGUACAGCAGCUAAAGAGAUAAAGAAAUCAGAGAAAAAAAAAAUCGUUGGAGACUGGAGGAUGCUGUCCACAUGGCUUAGCCAGAUGCCCAAGAGUGACAUGUAGAGGAAAGCCUAAUAUGUGGCCGUAAUGAAGUUGCAAAAUAUGUAAGUAAAAAUCACUGGAAUGGCCUCUCAGUUUCUUGCAGAUCUAUUGGAAUCUUUGGCCUGAAACAAUCAAGAUAAUUAGGGUCCACAGAUUUCAAAGCCAACUCUGGAUGAUAUACCAGGUUGAUGAAGAAAAAUAGUUUUGUACCACAAUACCAGGAUUUUACAGGACACUCAUUGCAUUUCAGUGGGUACAACCAAACACUCUCAAAAGAAUGGAUAUUGAUUGACCUAUAUUGGUAAUAGUGAAGGCAACUGGCCAGGAGUAGAUUCAUUAUUGUAUUGUUGUGCAUGACUGACAAAAGACAAGGCUUCUAACAAUAGUGAUAUUGAAGAGAAAAACCCUUCCAAAACAUGAAUUCCUAAAAGAAGUAGUCACUUACCAUCACAACAAAGGAUGUAUGAAUUCAGGUGGCUUGAAAAUCAGACUGAGGAAAGUUUAGAGGAUUAUGUGAAGAAUUUUUUUUCUCAUCUGGUAUAUGUUCCUUGUUGGUGAUGUUGCUGAAGUUAGGUUAUAAAACAGUGAUGCUGCAGUGAUUCCUGAUUGUCUAACCAGCCUGUUCAACCAUUGGAUGUCUCUUCAUGUUUUGGAGGGGCUUUUCUCUUCAAUAUCACUAUUGUUAGAAGCCUUGUCUUUUGUCAGUCAUGCACAACAAUACAAUAAUGAAUCUACUCCUGGCCAGUUGCCUUCACUAUUACCAAUAUAGGCCAAUCAAUAUCCAUUCUUUUGAGAGUGUUUGGUUAAAGCCACUGAAAUGCAAUGAGUGUCGUCAUGAUCCUGUAAAAUCCUGGUAUUCUGUUGUGGGACAAAACUAUUUUUCUUCAUCAACCUGGUAUAUCAUCCAGAGUUGGCUUUGAAAUCUGUGAACCCUAAUUAUCUUGAUUGUUUCAGGCCAAAGACAUGAGAAGAAAAUGAAAUGAUUGGAGAAGAGAAGACAUUCACUGAGGGAGGCAGCAGACAGGCUCUGACAAUAUCAACCUUGUGUGAAUAGGUUAGAGGCCAGGGAUGAAAUCAGAACUAAGAUCAUCAUCGAAUCAUUGAAUGAAUGGGGUUGUCCAAUGCACUUUAUGGACACAAAAUGAUUAUUUGUGGAAUGAUAUGGCGAAUGAUGACAUGAAUGCUGAUAAAGAUGAUGUUGAUGACCUAAAUGAUGCGAUUCAAAAACCAAAGUAGGACAAGUUAUUUGGUUAUGAAAAUGAGGAGGGUGAUUUUUAUUGACUUUAAUGCAUGUUCAAUACACAGCCUGUUGAUGUUCUUUUCUAUGCUGUGAUAAAAACUGAAUAAAUUUGUAUUAAUUC
This is a long non-coding RNA of Rhincodon typus (whale shark), 3730 nucleotides long. RefSeq lists it as uncharacterized. The transcript has 3 exons. The record is from RefSeq and is a predicted model, not a curated record. NCBI's taxonomy places the organism in Eukaryota, Metazoa, Chordata, Chondrichthyes, Orectolobiformes, Rhincodontidae.